Molecule: long non-coding RNA, 823 nt
Organism: Chenopodium quinoa (quinoa)
Lineage: Eukaryota; Viridiplantae; Streptophyta; Magnoliopsida; Caryophyllales; Amaranthaceae
Exons: 2
Source: RefSeq, a predicted model, not a curated record
CUGGCAGUCAAACUGAGAUUGAUUUCCUGACUCGCCAGGCUGAAGCUGAGGCUCGAGAACGAGAAGAAGCUGAAAAGAAAGAGAAGGAAGCAACUAAGAAGAACGAGUCUGAGAAAGCUCUUGCCAUGCCUGCUUCAUCCUUGCUUGUAAUCCCCCAUAUUUUCUUAGUAAAUAAUAAUUAUAUAUUUUUAUGUAUACGAUUAUUUUAAUAAUUUUAUAAUUAUACAAAAAUACUUUGGGAAGAUUUCAAAAAAAAAAAAAAAAAUACAAUAACUUAUACUCCAAUAGCAUUUUAUUCACUUUGGGCUAUGAUUACCAUUCCAAUUCUACAAAAAAAUAAAAGAGCCCAAACCCUCAUUUUCUAAUUAAGUAAACUUCUUUCAAAAACCCUCCUUUAGUGCUUCCCCUUAUUACUCCUUCACUACCUUCCUCCUCCUUUCACGACUCACACAGAGGAAAAAAAAAUAAAUAAAAAAAAUUCGCUGCUUUCUCCUCUCCGCUGCUGCUGCCUCUUCUGCGCCGCCACGGCCUCAGCCGGAAAUCACCACCGGCGACCCUCGCUGCAGCCCGUACCACCUUAGCCGGAGAGGACUUCGUAGAAGGUGACUUCUAGCCUUAAAGUGGCCAACCAAUUCGUGUACUCAAGCUACGUACAAGAAUACGAAGAACCUUGAUUUUAGGAGCAUGCUUAGGGACUUGGAAAAACCUAGAAUCAUGUUAAGAAACUGUGGAUUGGUUGAAAUUGUUUGGUAAUGAGUUGAUUGAUGAUAAAUGUGAUGAUUGCUUUAAUUCAAGUAUGAGAAUUUGCAUUGAUUUUUCCCCA